Long non-coding RNA from Poecilia latipinna (sailfin molly), 7085 nucleotides. RefSeq lists it as uncharacterized. Lineage: Eukaryota; Metazoa; Chordata; Actinopteri; Cyprinodontiformes; Poeciliidae. The record is from RefSeq and is a predicted model, not a curated record. The transcript is spliced from 4 exons.
CAGGAGGGCGAUGUGGAGCAGAGGAACCAUGGCUUUGAUUAUGGAGUUCAACACGACUUGUAAACCUGCGGCACAAACAACUCUAAUUUGUAACAAACUACCUCUCCAGCUCUGCAUUCUGCUGCGUCUGACUAAUCACAACUUUGCUGCAUCACCACGCAGGGAGACGGAUGCAGGAAACGCGGACAUGCACGCCACCACGGUCCUGAAUUAGGAAUUUGUCUUUGUCCUCUCAUACAGACGCCCCUUUGAGCACGCAGCAAGCAAUGAGAAGAGUGCCUGACGGAAACGGGGACGAUAAGACAGACGUCGCUCCCUCUGCUUUAAUCCAUCAACUGGCUGUUGCUAUGGUGUUUCUCCCGCCGCCCAAUCAGAGCAAUGCUGCUGAGCACGCUCAGAGAUGAGAAUCACAGGACAACUGCUUGUCUUCGAUACGACGGACAAAAGGGUGAUGGAAUCGGCAACUAAGAAAUCUGACAACUAAUUUAGAAAGGUGAAAAACGGCACAAUUCAGUACGCAUGCACAGCGACCUCCCAUGGAGUCCUGCAACCACCAGGCAACUUGCUUGUUAAUUGUGCACUUUGGGAGCCAGCCGAAAAGCUGAUUUUAAUCCAUCAUAACCGCAACUGAUGGGAUACAUCUGCUGUCUGACACCAGUCUGUGAAAUUGUCUUUAAACGUACAACAAAAGCACAAAUCAAGAAAUCAUUUUCAAAUAAAUACUUAACCUAUCAGUAAUGUACUAAUAAAAUUUAAUAAAUCACAUAAGAAUUUAUUUAUUUUUGUUAGAUGUGUAAACAAUUCCUUACAUAGUCAUACAAGUAAUUACAUGUUAGAUUCAUUAAUGAAACUUUGAUUUAAAUAUGUCAUGUGUUUUUUUGUGUUUUUUUUUUUUGGUUUAUUUCGGAUUUCCUGUACUUUUAAGUAUUUGAUAUAUCUAAACAAAAAAAGCAGAAAAUUAAGCAAAUUCACACAGAACUAAAAUAGAAACUCAGCAAAAAAAAUAAUGAUGGAGCAGUCAUUCAUCCACAAUGUAGGUUAAGAAUGGACAAGUCACACUUAUUAAGGUUUAAAAAAUCAUUUUCAAAACCGAGUGUUGUUAUGCCUGUUUGAAGCUUUACAGUCGUUUUAUUUAAAUGCCAGAGGAAUUGCUUGAGUGCCUGGAGUUUGUUGUACGGACUGUAAAAUAAUCCAGUGCCUCCCCGUUCUCACUUGUUGCUGUGCACUGCCAGUAAGAUGGCUGAAAGUGGCCUUCUAAAUCUUUCCAUUGCCCACAUACAAAAAAAAAAAAAAAUCUAUCAUCAGGAUAACUAUCUGAGCAGACGGCUUAACUUGACCACCUAUUACAUUACAGUUUAUAAUUAUUUUACCAGGAGGAGGACUAAUUGUUCAUUUCCUGUUUAGAUAAAGUGAUUAGUAAACAACAAAAGUUGUCCAUGACAUUGCUGUUGAAGUUUGAAGGAUACAGAAGACAUACUGUUCCCUUUAUUCGGAAACAGACAUCAUUUGAGGGGAGCAGAUGAUGCCUGCUGUAAUUAAUCCCCGAAAGCUUUCACUCAGGUCAUUUGAUGCAAAUUGGAAGGAUCAAUGCGAUCUUGUGUCACUUUAAUUGCAAUUUGCAGCUCGCCAUGCAAUUUCUCUGCAGAAAUCGCAUUGUGAACCAUAGCGCUCUUGCCGUCACUCUUGCGGUUUUCAUUUUUGCGCGCUCGGACAAAGCAAGCCAGCUUUCACACUUGAACAAAUGUAGACGCGUGCAGUUAGCGUUAGCUUGCCCGAGUGAACAAAAUACACAUGACGAUGGUCAUACUGUAGCCGCGUAAUAAAGUGUUUCCAUGAAAUAUUCUUAAAGUAGGAUAAUCAAAUAAAAGUGUGCUAAGACAUCCAUGCAUUUCUGUUUAACCGUAAGCCAAAGAUUAAUUUAUUCCUGUAGGUAAAUGAAUCAAUGAUGACAGUUCAGCUAAAAGCUACUAGUGCCUUUUAAAGCUUUCCAAAUCCAGGCGUAGAGUUCCAGGACAGCAGUGUGCCUGCCCCUCUUAAGUGACAAUUUGGUAUAGCUGGGCCUCACAGACUCCAAAAAGGCCGGAGAAUGUUGGUGUCUGUGGAAAAGAACAGAGAGCAGACGCCUGCCUGGCUCUCACUGUCAUAUAUUUGUAAGUGGAUUUAUAAUUUCCAGGCCCUGACCUGUCCUCCGUGAAAGGAUGGUCCUGCCUCGCCUCAGCCCUGCAAAUUACCGCUAACCCUGACCAUGAAACGUCUUUGUCCAAAUCACACGGCCUGUGAUCUCAGAGUAUGGCUCUAAAGCUGCUGAACCUGUCAACGCUUCCUUUUGGUUUUUAUGGCUGCUUUUACAACAACGUGAGGAGAGGGUUGAGUGAUUAUAUAAGGGUUUUAGAAUCUUUAACUCUAUAACAGUUUAUCUGAUUCAGUUCCGAUUGUUGAAUCUUUGUUGGGAAUUUGUUUCUUUGACAAGAUUGCACUAAAACGACCUACCUGAAUUUCCUGUUAAUAUUGUAGCUUAUAAAAAUAUUAAUUGUAAUCUCCUUGAACUUUUACAGAUUUUGUCAUGUCACAUCCGUAUAUAUUUUUCUGCACUUUAUUGAGUUUUUAUGUGAUACGCCAACAGUGGAGUUUCCAUUUGUAGUGAGCUCCCCUGAGUCAAUACUAUACAGAUCCACAGGUUUGCAGCUUUUAUCACAUCUAGCGACUGACAUUUGUGCCCAUUCUUUUUCUCAAACUUCUGAGCGUUCACACCUGUUAGUUUGCAGCAAAAAGCAAUUUGCAAAUUCGGUUUAAGUCUGAUCUGACCACAGUGCUUUCUUCUAUAUAUUUAUUAAGGUGUUCCCUACAUUAUUCCUCACUCUACACAUCAUGACUUUUGUUCAACAAGGGCUUUCUUCACCCAACGAAAACAUAAGGGAAAGAUUUGUGAAGUUCAUGACUGAUAGUUGUUCUGUUCACACUUUGUCCUCCUGACCUUUGGUCUCCUGCAGCCUUUCUAACGUUAUCAAGGGAUUCUUGGCUGGUUCUUCAUAAUUUGUGAAUUCAUUUGGGCUUUAUUUAAUAAUAUCAAAGUAAAUAGGCUGAAUUCAGAUACAUACGUUUAAAUACUUUGUUGUAGUUUUUUUCUUUCCCUAUCAGAUAACAUUAAAGUUUGAAGCAGUAUUUGCGAGGCACCGUUUUGCUGCAGAUUGAACAGCUCAUAUAAAAAUGCUUUUGUGGUCAUGAUUUGGAUUAGGAGAUUGGACCUUUUGCUCUCUGAAUCCCUCGCUUUCUUCCAGCACACAAACUAAAUGAGGUCUACCUUUGCUGUCAGAGCAUUUCACACCUCUGUUUCACAUCUAUUUAAGCAGCAAAGCCGUAUUAUUAUCAAGUCUCUUCAUUCCCAAAAGCCCAAAUGUGUCAUUGCCCGUUUCACACAUCCUGCCACACUCUUCCUCCUUUUUUUAUCCCCCACCCCUUCUCUUUUUUCCUCUCUUUCAUAACCUUCUGUUGCCCUGCGUGUCUUCUUGUUGCCACUUUUUCCACCUCCGUGCAGUACACCCUUUCCAACACGGUGCAGCGUGUGCUUGCGUUCCAAUAAACGUUGUGUGUUUUUGUGACAACGGGCAGUCAAAGGAAGCUCGGGCGAUUAACUCUGAUAGCCACCAGAUGCCUGGCUUAGAGGUAGAGUCACAGUUUAUAACCUUUCAGGAAACCUUUCAAACAUUUAGAUGGACAGCAAUGUAUGACGAGUCCCGUAUGAAAGCAAAAGGAAUUGACACAUAAGAGGGGUCAGGAGUGAACAAACGGGCAGGGGGGGCAUGGAGAGGAGGGGAAGGAACCCAAGAGGUAAACUGUGAAUUUGGAACACUGUGUGCAGUAAAUGCUGGCUUUGUUCUUUAAAGAGAACAUGCCAUGUUUUCCUCAUGAGCUUGGGCUUUGGAGAACAAACAGCACAUGAGUGAAGGCAGGUGACGGUCACAUUCUUCAAACUGGCCGGGAUGUGACCGCAGAUCAAAGCCUUGAUUGGCCACAAGCUGCAGAUGUUGUUUGUGCUGUGAUUCCUUUGUGUUUGUCUGUGUGUGUACGUUUUAGCAUUUCUCACCUUGUAAGGCCCGUUUUUCCAACAAACGCUACCUUGUGAGGACCCAUUGCUCCUAACAGGACCCGUGAGAAGUACUGUUAUUCGGUAAAGGGUUGUGUCUGAGAUCUUACUUGAGUUUAUGUUAGGUUUCAGGGCUAGGGCUAGGAUAUAAAAAUGACUGAGAAAUGAGUGGAAGUCAAUCCAAAGUCCUUGUGAAGACAGAAAGAUGUAACGUGUUUGAUUGUGUGUGUGCGUGUGUGUGUGUUCACUGAAAUCUGAUCUUUCAGAUUGUGAAUUCAACAGGCAGAUGGUUCAGAGAACAAGUGGCAAAAGCAACAACUAAGCAACAAAUUAACGGACACUGGGCGGAGAAACAAACUUGCAUUUCAAAACUACAAAAUAUUCAACCAAUGAAAUGAAGACUUAUGUCGAAUGUUUUGUAGCAGUUCUUUUCUUUGUCAUGUCCCAGAAUCCAAAGCAAUUUUUUUUUUUUUUAGCUGAUUAUUCCAUCUAAGAAAUAUAUCCGAACUGGGAAAGUUGGGAAGAGACCAUCUCUCAAUCGGUCUACAAAAAAAUAUAUAUAUAUAUAUUCUCCAUAAAACUAAUAUCAGUCAGAGUUGAAGACAUGCAGAUGUUUGAAACUGUUCACCAGUUUUGACAGAACUGUCAUAAAAAUCCAGUUUAACUUGACGUAUUUCUGUUAGAGUAAACAAUAUGUCGGAGUUCAUUCUUCAAAAUGUCUUUGGGCUUCUUUCAUACCCAAAAUGAUCAGCUUCCAGACCAGAGAAAGAAACCUUUGUGCUAGUAAGGACCCAUCUGUGUUGAGACAUGAACUCCGGCUCAAUUUACUUUACACGACCCAGUCAGGGAACACAAGAAAAAUGUAAGAAUCGCUUCUGUUAUUAUAAAGCGUCUGCAGGUGUUUUGGGGGAAACAAACUAAUAAAUAAAAAGAAUCAAUAGUUCAGUGGCAUUUAAAACUGGAAUGAAUCACAACAGCAGCAGAAAGUUGUUGUUUUUUCUCUCCAAUGCAUCUAGUACAAGUGGUGGUAUCCUUGUUCGUUUAUUUAUUGAUUGAUAACAGCAGUUUGAGGCAUAAUAACGAGAACCAGACGACCAACAAAAUGUCGAUGUAAAGAAAAACAAUGAACUUUCCGCUUAGCAAUCCUUACAUAACCGAAGUUGCCAUGAGAAAAAAAAAAUAUUUGUGGCAAGCUGCAUAUGAUUCAGCCUAAUUGGCAGGUCGCGUGACAGAGUGUUGCACCGGUCUCCUGAGACUCUCCCAGCGGAAACCCAUUUUCACUUAGAAAUUCCCGGAUGCAUUUUCUAAUCACUGAGCUGCAACUUGCAGAGUGUGAAAUUAUGGUGCCAACUCCACAAAAUUUCUGCUUGAGGAAAUACAAAACACACAUUUUUUUUUUUGGGGGGGGGUGGAUUCUGUGGUGUUGUACUAUAUUGUUUCACUCAGAGUCCAACAGCUUCCCCAAUGUCUCCAAAAAAUAACUGAGCUCUUUGCUAGUAAGGACUUAUAGAGACAAAUUAGGCCAUGGUUCUCAACUAGAAAAUGGUGGACUGCUUCCUCCAGGUUGGGGGUUACAUUUCACUUUCUGGUUUGGAAACACCAUGGGUUCCCUCCAGAGAGUGUGGGUUAUGCCCCACAACUUGAUCCCAGAGAACUUUAAGACGCCGAUCAAAUGGUAGAUGGUGACCACCGCCUGCUUCCCCUGGGAAUGGGUAUUUCACAGUUUCAGACUUCUCCGUUCUGAACAUCGUCUCUCUUUUCAUCAUGAGUGAACACAAAAGUUUCAUAUGCAGAAGUGAGAACAAAGGAUGAUGGAAGGAUUGGGAGGAUGUGGGCUUGGUGGUUGAAGCUUUCAGAAACCAAAGGCUGUUAUAUUAUGCGAUACACAACAGACCAUGAAACAUUUCCGGUAACUGAAAAUCAGUUAGGUCAUCCAUAUUUGAAAUGGUGCUAAUUUCAUUAUGUCGAACUAGGGUGACCCUAUAAAUGUCCCAGUUGUGUUCUGACCUCCUCCGCUGUCAGUCAACAAACGUCAAACAACCCUGCUGAAUCGGCCAGGAUGAGAAAUCUUGCUGCCUCCCUUCUCUCUCCUCCUCUCCAUCUUUCCUCGUGUCAUCCACGGCUGUCCCCUCUCCCCUCACCUCCUUUCUUCUCUUUCUCUCUCUUUGUCCCUGUUGGAACAGCGUGUUUGUUUAAUGUGGUGUCUCCAUGGUUACCCGUCUGCCACACUGAUGUAAUGUCAUUAAUCAUCAACUUUAUCAUGCUGCGACCCAGACGCAUGUAUGCAGAAAGCCGGCCGUGGCAUUUUACACGGCAGAAAGACGGGAGGAGGGUGGUCCACUUAAGAAUAUUAAAAAGUAACAGUGAGCAGACUCAGGUUUCCUUCGAUCUUUAAGGAACGUCUGCGUCUUCACGUACAAAAUAAGAAGAUGCAUUUGAAGUACAAUGAAUGCUCUUCUUUUUCCUCCUUAUGCCCUUCCAUCUCCUCAUGAGAUUGCUCGCUCUCUUUUGGUUAACAUGACAACAGACAGUCAAUGUCGCGCCUCCUGCUCUGGUGACAUCACCACAGGCGCCAAGCCAAUCCCCGAAAAACCUCUUUAUCAUCUCUCUCUCUCUCCCCAUCUCGCUCUCUUCCUUGUUCUUUCUUUCAUGGGCAUAUUGAUCUGGAAUACAAAUCACAGAUGCAAUAAAAAGGGCUGGUGGAAAAGUGGUAGUGGAAAAAAAGAGGUGGAGUGGAGGAAGAACAGAGAAUGGAGGGGAGAAUAACAGAUAGCCUCACUUAUAUAUGAGCUACUGCCUUACUUCCAAUGUCUGAGAUGUGGUGUAUUUUUGCUUUUAAGUCCUGCACUUUAAAAUGUUAUGGAACGGAGAAAGGCAAUGUUAUCAAUUUACUUUAGAAAUGAGAAAGGCCCGACUGAAGAUUAUUAUUAUUUUUUUUUUUUACUUGGUGUGUCUCUGUAAAAUUAGAAUUGGGCACCAGAAAAUAAUUUCAUUUUAUUUA